UUGGAGGGCAAGUCUGGUGCCAGCAGCCGCGGUAAUUCCAGCUCCAAUAGCGUAUAUUAAAGUUGUUGCAGUUAAAAAGCUCGUAGUUGAAUUUCGAGAUCAAAUUGUUGGUCGUGCCUCGGUACGUACUGGCAUUAUUGAUUUCUCCCUUCUGAAGAGCCACGAUGUCAUUAAUUUGGUGUCGUGGGGAAUCAGGACUGUUACUUUGAAAAAAUUAGAGUGUUUAAAGCAGGCUCACGCUUGAAUACAUUAGCAUGGAAUAAUGAAAUAGGACGUUUGAUUCUAUUUUGUUGGUUUCUAGGAUCGACGUAAUGAUUAAUAGGGAUAGUUGGGGGCAUUAGUAUUCAAUUGUCAGAGGUGAAAUUCUUGGAUUUAUUGAAGACUAACUACUGCGAAAGCAUUUGCCAAGGAUGUUUUCAUUAAUCAAGAACGAAAGUUAGGGGAUCGAAGACGAUCAGAUACCGUCGUAGUCUUAACCAUAAACUAUGCCGACUAGGGAUCGGAUGAUGUUAAUUUUUUAAUGACUCAUUCGGCGCCUUACGGGAAAC
This 548-nucleotide ribosomal RNA is filed under the name uncultured Glomus. RNAcentral describes it as "SSU rRNA". It matches the Rfam family "Eukaryotic small subunit ribosomal RNA", at positions 548 to 1098 of the family's 1831-position model. The record is from RNAcentral. Lineage: Eukaryota; Fungi; Glomeromycota; Glomeromycetes; Glomerales; Glomeraceae.